RNAcentral lists this non-coding RNA (27 nucleotides) under Bombyx mori (domestic silkworm). Lineage: Eukaryota; Metazoa; Arthropoda; Insecta; Lepidoptera; Bombycidae. The record is from RNAcentral.
UGUUUGAAACUCAAUGCAUACAUUACA